AAGGGAAUAGGAAGUGGCAGAAGGGUCUCGACAAUGGAGAGGAUUUUCCGUCGGAUCUUUGGAUGGCCUAACGUCAUUCGUUUUGCAUGAAAAAUUGAGGAGGUGUUCUACUCGAUGAGAGGAACGAUUCUAUAAUGGCCGAUCUUGUUUUUAAUGGUCUGAUUCGUAGAUAUGUGGUAGGGAACCUAAUCCUAAAACUUUAAUUAAAUAUGUUUUUUCUUGAAAAAAAAUUAUAGAUCUUGUCAUUUUGAGUUAAAUAGGUAAUGUUUGUGUUGUAGGAAGUUUAUUGGAUGAUUGAGAAUUUUUUUGAAAUUUUUGUGAUGUUGGGAAAUUUUGUUUGGUUAAUAAAUGAUUGUUUUCGGGUUGUUAAAAUUUGUGGAAUGUUGAAAAAAUAUAAAAUUGUGGCAUAUGAUAUAAUUUAUUGAUAUGUGAAUUUUUGAGAAAUUUUUGGAAUAUUUUUGGUGAUUUUAUUAUGAAAAAAUAAUCAUGUUUGAUUAUUAGAAAUUAUUGGAAUGAUUGGAAAAUUAUAAAAUUGUGGUAUAUGUUAUAAUUUAUUGAUAUGUGAAUUUUUGAGAUAUUGCUGAAAUAUUUUUGGUGAUUUUAUUGUGGAAAAAUAAUCAUGUUUGAUUAUUGGAAAUUAUUGAAAUGGUUAGAAAAUUAUAAAAUUGUGUUAUAUGUUAUAAUUUAUUGAUAUGUGAAUUUUUGAGAAAUUUUAGGAAUAUUUUUGGUGAUUUUAUUGUGGAAAAACAAUUAUGUUUGAUUAUUGGAAUGGUUGGAAAAUUAUAAAAUUGUGGUAUAUGUUAUAAUUUAUUAAUAUGUGAAUUUUUGAGAAAUUGUUGGAAUAUUUUUUAUGAUUUUAUUGUGGAAAAAUAAUCAUGUUUGAUUAUUGAAAAUUAUUGGAAUGGUUGGAAAAUUAUAAAAUUGUGGUAUAAGUUAUAAUUUAUUAAUAUGUGAAUUUUUGAGAAAUUUUUGGAAUAUCUUUGAUGAUUUUAUUGUGGGAAAAUAAUUAUAUUGAAUUGUUCGAAUUGUUAGGAAAUUUUGGAAUUAUGGCAUGAUUGUAAUUCCGAUGAUAUUGGUGAUACAUAUGAAUGAGAGUAAUUAACCUCAUGGCAUGCAUUUGUAUCAUGGUUGUGUGAAUAAAUGAUAAAAAAUGUGAAAAAUGCAUGAAAUGGCAAAAGAAAGAGAAAAAUGAAUAGUGAUGAAAAGUAAAGACUCGUGUGAGGCGAAUUAAGAAGGGAGAUAGAUCUCUAGAGUGAAAGACCCAAAAGUUUACCUCAGGAAGAUUCCGAAUGAGGAGUGUAUUUGAGUACGAACACGUAUCCUUCGGUGAAAGCUCGAGAACAAUAGUGCAUUGUAUGAUUGUGUGUUACACAUUUAUAUGCAUUUUAUUUAAUUGUUGAAUAUUAUGGAAUUAUAUAUAAUAUUAGAGAUUAAAUUAUGUGGCUUGAUCAAUACUGUUGAGAUGCUUCUUUUGUAUUCUUUGGAACUUAGUAAUCUCCAUUAACCCUUGGGUGUUAGGCAUCUUAUUGAGCAAUGUGGAAUGUUCACCCAUUCAUUUUUAAAUGUUUUUAGAUAUAGAUAUCACUCUUGGGGAUCUACAGAUGGGGUAGGAAGGACUUUAGGAUGCCCCUAAAGCGGCCUAGUGGAGGGUGUUGUAUUUGUGGUGUUUGUGGUACUAGAUUUUGUUUUGAGCAAACUGUGGACUAUGUGCUAUAAUGAGACUUUAUUUUGAUUAAACUGUUCAACUGUGAACUUUUAUUUUUAUACUGUAAUGAUAAUUAUUAUAUCUUGUUGCUUUUGAGUAUUGAUUAGUAUGUUGUUAGUUGGUGGGAACUCUAGUGUGAUUUAUACGUAGAGAGAAAAAAAUCAGAGUGUUUUGGUUGAUUGUCAGCGUGGAGUAAGAGAAACUCUUAGGGUCAAACCUUUGACCUGGGGUCAUGGGCCAAAUUUUAGGUUGCUUGGAAUUUGGGUAAUGACAGUACCCCUUCAAGAUUGCAACACAUACAUACAAGUGCAAGUGUUUAGACAAAUAGUGUGUCCAUAGCAUCUCCCACAACCUCAUGGUUUUCUCAUAUUCAAAUUCUCUGUCAUACGUGCAAAAUUCACUUCAGGACAAAUUAAAUAAAUGUAAGAGUAACAUUUGUAGGGAUAGUAUAUUAUUUAUCUCGACAGUUUUUAGAGUCACACUACAUUAUUUAUCAACACAGAUAUCUGGAAAAGCAAAAGAAAUAUAUUGUAAUUUAAGGGUAUAUUUGGAAGUUCUCUUCCAAAAUAGUUUUCUAUUUUUUAAAACAAAAAAAAAUCUGAAAAAAAAAUUAUCAACAAAAAAAUUGAAAAUGGUUUUUUGUUAUUAAAAAUAUAAAAUAGGAUGUAAAUAUAUUUGUGUAGGCAAUUUCGGGCCAAAAUCCCCAUUAUGUCUCUUAACUCAUACUCUUUAAAACCUCCUUUGGGCACUUGCUUUUUUCAAAUUAUUCGUGUUUGAAAAUGGCUAAAGGAGUUGGUAAAUGCUAUGGAGGUGUUGGAUGAUGACAAACAUUGAUCAACUUUGUUUUAAACUCUUAUCAUAUUUAUUGAAAAAUCGAGUGGUUACUUAGGGAGUGUAAAACAUAAUGUUUAAAUCAUUUUGAUCGAUUUCUGAUAAAUCAAACUUAAGGGUAAUAGUUUUUGCUAUGCCCAGUUCUUUUUAUUCUUCUCUAAUCGAUCAAACUUGAAUCACAUCUGCAUUCCUUCAACUUUUCAAAAUUAUUCUCAAUUGUUGGAUGGGUUUUAAAAUUACAAUACUUAAGUUUUCUUUUAAGAUGCAUGAAGGAUGGUUGCGAGAGUGAAAACCCUUUUUUUUAGCUUCAAUUUUUUCUUACCAAAUUAGGGAGUGUUUGCCUUGAGAGAAAAUCACUUGGGUUUGAGUUCAAAAUCAAUUUUUGAGUGAGAAAUUUUUGUUCCAAAUGGGUUGAUUCAUUGAAUUAUUCAUCUUUGCUCUCAUACUCAACAUAUUUGGGGUAGAACCCAAGUUUCUUCUUGCAUGGAUUCAAGAAGAGGCUAAUAUCAAAGCUUGAAGUGGAUUCCAAGUAUUUUCCAAAAUAAGAAAAGUAGUAAUUGAAACUUGAAGGUUCUAGGCAAGUGAUCCAAGAAAGGAUGAAAUGUUUGGGCUCGGUAAAUCCUUGAACUCAACUAAUUUUUUUUUCCAUAGUAGAUUAUUUGAUUGCUUGAGGCCCGUGGUUCUUUUUUUUUUAUUAUUAUUAUUAUCUCUUCAAAGGUUUUCCACAUUAAAAAAAUUGGUGUCCUUGUCUAUCUAUUUUAUCUUGUCUCUUGAUUAGUAUUUCAUUAGAUUGUGAUAUUUUUUCAUUGAGUUAUGUUGAUUGUUUAAUUGGAGCAUGACCUGAAAUUUGACUAUUUGAACUUUGAAAGAACAAGAUAUAUUUCAGUUUUUGUUGAUUGAUGUCAAGAGACAUAUGAAAUUGAGUGUUUGUAUUGAUGUAAUGUCUUAUAUAUCAUGUUUGAGGAGUGUUGUUUUAUUUGCAUGUGUCUUGCAUUGAAUAACUCGUUUGGAAGAGUGUUGGUGAAUUCAAUAUUACUUGUGAUUUGCUUGUUAAUUCAUAGGAUUGAAAAAGAAGAUCAAUUCAUAGGAGAAAAACAAGGGAUUUGUAAGAAACUUUCUCUAAUUGUUGCAAAAACACCUAUUCACCACCCCCCUCCCUCCCACCCCUAUGUGUUAUCCAUAGGUGAGAUUCAUUUCCAAUUGGUAUCAUAGUGGAUCUUAAAGCAAAAAAUUAUUUUCUAUCCUUGAAUGUCAAAUAUGGGACCUCAUUUUUUAACCGGAGAAAAUUAUUCUCAUUGGAAAGUGAGAAUGCAAUAUUUUCUCAAAAUGAAAGUGAAAAAAAAUAUGAAACAUGGUUGAAUUUGGUAGGUCUACUACAUAGUUAAUUAAAUGGUGAUUGUGUGAUGAUUGGCUUGAAAACUUGUGGUAAUUGCUAUAUUGUUAGUCAAACCAUUGAGGGUGAUAAGGUAUAUCGAUUAAACUUAUAGUAACGCCAAUUAAAUAUUAAAUUUUAAGCUUCAUGACAACCAUGUAGUAAGCAACAUCAAGCUGCAUGUGCCUGCAUUUGAUAAUUAGAUAGUAGAAUAACAUAAAUCGUGAAUGAACGGAAAGAAAAAAAAAAAAACACGAUGAACAAACAGUAAAUCCAGGAACCUGAAUUUAUAAUGGUCUCACUUGCCUUAACCCAGCCGAACAAAAGAAAUACAAAAGAAAUAAUUAUGGAGCGGGCAUCUAACAACUCCACCAGCUUUCAAAAUAACAUUGAAAAUCAGUAAGGAUUAGAAACUCAGAACGUGUUAUUGUUGCCUAUAAAAAGAGUUUAGCCAAGGCACCGCUGAGACAUGAACCUUCAAGCUCACACAUUUAAACACCGUGGACAAAUAAAAAGUUAAGUGUCAAAGUUAUGAUACUAAACUAAAGCACAUCAGCAGUUCACAGCUUGCGAGCAAAGCAUCAAAAGGCAUAAAAGAAGAUUCAGAAAGUAAUAGUAGUGUACCUUAUUCAUUGAGAGGUAUCGCAUGACUACCUUUCGCUGUUUUGAGAAAAUUUUUCUGUUCAUAUAGAGAUUGUGCUUCUACAUGAAAGGGUAUGGCUCCAUAAACAAUUUUGGCAAUCGUUUUUCAGUUAACACUGCCCUUUGACAUGCCCUUGACUAGUGUGUGCAGCUUUCAUAAUAAGGUGGCCCAGCAGGUUUGAGACUGGAUUUUACCUAAUACAUGGCUCAUGGGCCGGGGAAGCAUCAUGUAUCCGGAGCUUAUAUCUUCCACAUGAGGUGGGGAUUGGAGAGACAGAGAAAACUUUGAUAUUGCAAAAAGUUGAGUGUGCAUGCCAUUUUGGUCUCGAUUGAAAUUUGGCCCAAGGCGUUCCAUCAGAGCCACAGAACACCAAAAUGAUUCCGCCUCAUCGUUCACUACAAACAAUAUUGGGUACCGAAGAUCGCUCAUACCCUAUAAGACACAUAGAGGUUCUUAAUAAGCAAGCUCCAACUGUUGAUACGGUAGAUUGUAGAUCCAUAUAUAGGAGUUAAACCCUAUGGAUAGGGAUCUAUAUCAUGUAAAUAUAUAGCCUCCUCUCCAGCCGCCUUAGAUGUUUAUGGUAUUACGUACACUUUAGAAUAGGUUCAGUAGAUCUUUGAUUAAUAAAAUUCUCACAGUACCAUGUAGAUAUUUGGUGAUCGAUUCUGUAUGUUAUCAUCAUAUCCCAUGUAACGUGUUUUAUUUAGAAGCUUUUAAGUCACUGUUGCACAGCAGUGUGGUCUCAGGGUUCCACCAGUCUUCCAAAUUUCCAGUAUGGGUUGGUGGGGCCUCUCUUUGCCAUCUUUGGAAGAGCUCUGAUUCUCAUACAAUAUUAUAAACAAAACGAAGACUCU
This 5405-nucleotide long non-coding RNA is filed under the name Vitis vinifera (wine grape). Its description in RNAcentral is "long non-coding RNA (VVIN_LNC003430)". The record is from RNAcentral. Lineage: Eukaryota; Viridiplantae; Streptophyta; Magnoliopsida; Vitales; Vitaceae.